This 1256-nucleotide small RNA is filed under the name Pan troglodytes (chimpanzee). Its description in RNAcentral is "retained intron". The record is from RNAcentral. Lineage: Eukaryota; Metazoa; Chordata; Mammalia; Primates; Hominidae.
GUUGUUUGAAAAAGAAUUUUAAUGUGAAAAUAUUGUACUACUUUUGUGGCCUGUUUAAUCCAAUAUUCAUUGCUGUCAGUAUUUGCUAAAUAGUUUGAGCAUUUAUUACUGCAGCCUGAAUUACACUGUCAGAUUUUUCCAGUGUGAAUUUUUCUAAUGCUACAAUUAAUAGAAAUACAUUAACACUGAUUUACUGCAUUAUGAUUUUAACAAUAUAACAUUGAUUGUUACUUGGAUACACUUAGUGACAUUAUUACUUGGAUACAUUGAAAACUUUGUAUCUGCAUCACAUCUUUUGAUCCUCAACAAUCCACCGAAGCCAGUAGGAACAGGGCAAAUGUUGCCGAUGGGUUGAUGUUACACUCACCCAGAGUUGCUCUGCCAGUCAGAGGCAGAGCUGGGCCAGUGGGCAGUAUUCCUCCCUCAUAGUGAAGGGCGUCAGGUCAAUAUUUUAGCACCUCUUGAGAGUAGUAAUUGGAUUACUCAGGCCACCAACAGGGAUGAAUUUCAAAUUGAUGAAACUUUGAUACAAUAUGAAGGGUCUUUUACCUUCCUACUUACUCAGUAAAGGUAUUUUUGUAUUCUCUGAGCACUGCAUCUUUAUCAUGAGUAAAGCUUAGAAAUAAUCAGGUACUUUAACUUGUACUGUUUCUUUCAUGGAAAAGGACCAAACUCUUACCCAGGAUCUACUGGAGCAGCUGUUGGAGCCCAUGACGCCUGUCGAGAUGCAAAAGAGAAGCGCUCUAAAAGCCAAGAUGCAGAUUCACCUGGAAGUUCUGGGGCCCCUGAAAACUUGACAUUCAAGGAACGCCAGCGUCUUUUUUCACAAGGUCAAGAUGUAUCCAAUAAAGUGAAAGCUUCUCGUAAAUUAACAGAACUGGAGAAUGAACUGAACACAAAGUGAAAGAAAAUGAGGAGAACACUUUGUAUUUACCCCAAAAUCUUUUCAGUUGUGGGUUUGUAGGUGCGAGUUUGAAGAGGAAAGAGGAAGGGGGUUAUAUUUCUAAGUGAUUUACAAUUUCUGUUUCUAAAAUUGUUGGGAUUUAGAAAUGUUUCAAUUCCAAGAAAUUUUAUUUUACUUUACCAUGAGAUUGCCAUUUAUGUAAUUUAAACACUGUCUAGUUUCUUAAUUAUCUAACUCACAUGAGGGUAAGUUUUUUGUUGGUUUCUUUUCUGGAGUCCUGAGUUCAAAGGGGACAGAACUAAGGGCAGGAGAAGAGAAUGGAUGUGUCUUCUCUCCCAUCUUCCCCUCAUCA